GGGUUAGUAGGUUGGUCAUGCCUCUGGUAUGUACUGGUCUCACUGAUUCCUCCUUCCUGAUGAACCGUAAUGCCAUUAAUUUGGUGUUGCGGGGAAUUUGGACUGUUACUUUGAAAAAAUUAGAGUGUUUAAAACAGGCGUUUGCUUGAAUACAUUAGCAUGGAAUAACGGAAUAGGACU
RNAcentral lists this ribosomal RNA (180 nucleotides) under uncultured Glomeromycotina. Its description in RNAcentral is "partial small subunit ribosomal RNA". Lineage: Eukaryota; Fungi; Glomeromycota. The record is from RNAcentral.